Molecule: unclassified non-coding RNA, 285 nt
Filed under: plant metagenome
Description: partial contains small subunit ribosomal RNA, internal transcribed spacer 1, and 5.8S ribosomal RNA
Rfam family: Eukaryotic small subunit ribosomal RNA (bases 1-54)
Source: RNAcentral
GGAAGUAAAAGUCGUGACAAGGUUUCCGUAGGUGAACCUGCGGAAGGAUCAUUAUUGUAUAACCGAGGUGCGAGGGCUGUCGCGGACCCGAAAGGUCGUGCACGCCCGAGUGCCCUCACACACAUCCAUCUCACCCCUAUGUGCACCACCGCGUGGGUCCCCCUUUGGCUUGUUCGGAGGGGGGCUUACGUUUUCACACAAACUUUGUAUGCAGUGUAGAAUGUAUUUUUUGUUUUUGCGAUCACGCAAUCAAUACAACUUUCAACAACGGAUCUCUUGGCUCUC